GACGAACGCUGGCGGCGUGCCUAAUACAUGCAAGUAGAACGCUGAAGAGAGGAGCUUGCUCUUCUUGGCUGAGUUGCGAACGGGUGAGUAACGCGUAGGUAACCUGCCUUGUAGCGGGGGAUAACUAUUGGAAACGAUAGCUAAUACCGCAUAACAAUGGAUGACACAUGUCAUUUAUUUGAAAGGGGCAAUUGUUCCACUACAAGAUGGACCUGCGUUGUAUUAGCUAGUAGGUGAGGUAAUGGCUCACCUAGGCGACGAUACAUAGCCGACCUGAGAGGGUGAUCGGCCACACUGGGACUGAGACACGGCCCAGACUCCUACGGGAGGCAGCAGUAGGGAAUCUUCGGAAAUGGGGGCAACCCUGAACGAGCAACGCCGCGUGAGUGAAGAAGGGUUUCGGAUCGUAAAGCUCUGUUGUAAGUCAAGAACGGGUGUGAGAGUGGAAAGUUCACACUGUGACGGUAGCUUACCAGAAAGGGACGGCUAACUACGUG
Molecule: ribosomal RNA, 497 nt
Filed under: uncultured bacterium
Lineage: Bacteria
Description: partial 16S ribosomal RNA
Rfam family: Bacterial small subunit ribosomal RNA
Source: RNAcentral